AGCUUAUUACCAAAAGGAAUGAUGUAAACUCACCACACACACAAAAUUCAAAAAAAAAAAAGAAACAAAGAAACAACCAAAAGCAAGACUCACAAACACGAAACCGAGAGACCAAACUGUCACAUAUG
RNAcentral lists this non-coding RNA (128 nucleotides) under Platyophrya macrostoma. The record is from RNAcentral. Lineage: Eukaryota; Ciliophora; Colpodea; Cyrtolophosidida; Platyophryidae.